This 817-nucleotide ribosomal RNA is filed under the name uncultured bacterium. RNAcentral's name for it is "bacterial SSU rRNA". It matches the Rfam family "Bacterial small subunit ribosomal RNA", at positions 129 to 919 of the family's 1533-position model. The record is from RNAcentral.
CCCUAGUGUACGGGACAACAUCGGGAAACUGGUGCUAAUACCGAAUACGCUUCUUUAGAUGCGAAUUUAGAGAAGGAAAGGUGGCCUCUUCAUGAAAGCUACUGCACAAGGAUGAGCCUGCGUACCAUUAGCUAGUUGGUGGGGUAAUGGCCUACCAAGGCUUCGAUGGUUAGCGGGUCUGAGAGGAUGAUCCGCCACACUGGCACCGGAACACGGGCCAGACUCCUACGGGAGGCAGCAGUGAGGAAUUUUGCACAAUGGGGGAAACCCUGAUGCAGCGACGCCGCGUGAGUGAUGAAGGCCCUUGGGUCGUAAAGCUCUGUCAAUAGGGAAGAAGUGUCUAAUGGAUAAUACCCGUUAGAUUUGACGGUACCUAUAAAGGAAGCACCGGCUAAAUCCGUGCCAGCAGCCGCGGUAAUACGGAUGGUGCGAGCGUUGUUCGGAAUUACUGGGCGUAAAGGGCGCGUAGGCGGCCUGUCAAGUCAGAUGUGAAAGCCCACGGCUCAACCGUGGAAGUGCAUCUGAAACUGGCAGGCUUGAGUACUGGAGAGGAAAGUGGAAUUCCUGGUGUAGAGGUGAAAUUCGUAGAUAUCAGGAGGAAUACCGGUGGCGAAGGCGACUUUCUGGACAGAUACUGACGCUGAGGCGCGAAAGCGUGGGGAGCAAACAGGAUUAGAUACCCUGGUAGUCCACAGCUGUAAACGAUGUGCACUAGGUGUAGGGGGUCGUUGACCCUUUCUGUGCCGUAGCUAACGCAUUAAGUGCACCGCCUGGGGAGUACGGUCGCAAGAUUAAAACUCAAAGGAAUUGACGGGGG